UACGGAGGGUGCUAGCGUUGUUCGGAAUUACUGGGCGUAAAGGGCGCGUAGGCGGCCUUCUAAGUCGAACGUGAAAUCCCCGGGCUCAACCCGGGAAUUGCGUCCGAUACUGGGAGGCUUGAAUCCGGGAGAGGGAUGCGGAAUUCCAGGUGUAGCGGUGAAAUGCGUAGAUAUCUGGAGGAACACCGGUGGCGAAGGCGGCAUCCUGGACCGGCAUUGACGCUGAGGCGCGAAAGCCAGGGGAGCAAACGGG
Molecule: ribosomal RNA, 253 nt
Filed under: uncultured bacterium
Lineage: Bacteria
Description: partial 16S ribosomal RNA
Rfam family: Bacterial small subunit ribosomal RNA
Source: RNAcentral